Molecule: transfer RNA, 58 nt
Filed under: Dipodomys ordii (Ord's kangaroo rat)
Lineage: Eukaryota; Metazoa; Chordata; Mammalia; Rodentia; Heteromyidae
Rfam family: tRNA
About the family: Transfer RNA (tRNA) molecules are approximately 80 nucleotides in length.
Source: Rfam by way of RNAcentral
UGGCUCAGUGGUAGAGCGCUUGCCUUGCAUGCAUGAGGUCCUGGGUUUGAUUCCUCAG